Molecule: long non-coding RNA, 2952 nt
Organism: Ctenopharyngodon idella (grass carp)
Lineage: Eukaryota; Metazoa; Chordata; Actinopteri; Cypriniformes; Xenocyprididae
Exons: 3
Source: RefSeq, a predicted model, not a curated record
UUGAAUCAAGCGUCACUAUUAAAAAUGGCAUUAGAAAGCUCAGGUGGUGCUACGGCGAAAAUAACUAAAUAUAGCUGCAAAUAUAACAACAGCUGGACGGAGGAAUUUAAUUUCUUAUCACGAAGCAGCAUCGACAAUUCCCACGCUUUUUGCAAAGUAUGUCGCACUGAUUUCAGUAUCGGACCUGGUGGGAAAAACAACGUAACACAGCACAAUAAAUCACAACGGCACAAUCGUGCUGUGGAGGCACAAAGGGGCACACCGGCGAUUUCAAACUUUAUCACUAAGGGAUGGACAGAGGCAGAAACCGUAUUACAGAGUGAAUUAAAAAUGGCAAUGUUGAUUGCAAAAAAAACCAUUCCAUUUUCUUUUUGCGAUGAAUUCAAUGCUAGUGUGGCAGGCAUGUUCCCGGAUUCUGCCAUAGCUAGAAAAUACUCCUCUGGAAAGACUAAAACAACUCAGCUUCUUAAAGGUAAGUUCAUCUGUCUACGUUAAUUAAUGUUUACUAAUAAAACCUAUUGUAAAGUGUUACCAUGGUAUUUAUAUGCUGUACAGUUUUUUUUUUUUUUUUAAAUAGCAACAUUUUAUGUUUCACAUUAUUUUCAAAAUUCACAUUAAUGAAGAUCUACAUUUCUCAGUUCUAUUCAUGGUGAAAACGUGAAACGUGCCAUAGUUUAGUGGAAGAUUGCUGCCAUCUACUGGAAAACAAAAUCUUUUGAAAGUGCUCAGUGAAAAGUUUGUGCAUGAAUGUAGGCCUAAUCACUCUUGUUAUUUGUGUUUAGGCUGUAAUGUGGCUUAGGUGUUAUUUUGUAUAAUUUAACCAUCCAUAUAUAAGCCUAUAAAAAAUAAAUAAAUAAAAUCAUGAACACAAUUACUGUGUGCAAUGGGCUAUCAAGGGGCACCAUAGAAAAUCUUGCCUAGGCUGGCCCUGUCUAUUAAUGCUAGAUUUACAAUGUGUUAGCCUUUUGACAGAAACUAAAACAAAACACACACUUUAAUACAUCAUCAUCUUAUUCUUUUUUUAUCUAUAUCAUCGCCAUCUUUGACCACUUCUUUUUCUUCUUAUUAUUAUUUGUUAGGUGCCAUUGCCCAGAGCUUGAUGAUGAGGUCAAAAAAAUCUGCCAGACCCAGCCAUUUGGAUUGCUUUGUGAUGAGUCAAACAACAUGCAGACAGAAAAAGAACUAGUUAUACUGGCAAGAGUGUGUGAUGAGAACAGUCUUGAGGGUGUGACCAAAUUUACUGACAUGCCAGUCUGCAAUGUGGGUACAGCAGAAAUAUUUAUGAGAAGCUGGAAACCUCUUUGAGAAAUGGAGGAAUCCCAUGGGAUAACCUGGUGGCCUUCAACUCUGACAACUGCAGCGUGAUGAAAGGAAAGCACCAUUCAGUCAUCACCAAACUAAGAGCUAGUCAACCUUAUGUUCAGGAUGUGGGUUGCAUAUGCCACCUUGCUCAACUUGUCACAGGCUGUGGCGUGAAGGCCAUCAAGAGGAGGAUUUACUGGGUGGUGUGUAUAGCCACUUCCACAAAAGUGCCAAGAGAAGUGAGGUGUAUAAAGAGUUUGUGGAGUUCACAGACACAGACAAGCUAAAUCUUCUCAGAUACUGCAGUACUCGAUGGCUCAGCCUCCACACAUGCAUAGAAAGAGUGCUCAAUCAAUGGGCUGCUCUGCAGGCUUACUUUAGUAGUCAUGAGGAUGAGAGGAGUGCUAAAAUCAGGAACCUAGCAGGCUGCUUCAGUGAUCCUGAGAUCAAGUUCUAUUUUCUGUUUCUGAGUGCCGCUCUUAAGCCAUUGGUUGCAUUCAACACUGCCUUCCAGGUAGGUAGAAUGAAUGGUGAAGACCAAGCAUUAUAUAUACAUAAAACAAACAUUUUUUUUUUUUUUUUUUAAGUUUACCCAUGUUUGCCCAAUAGGCAGAGGGAGUGAUGAUCCAUAAGCUACACAGUGAGAUGACAAGACUGGUCAAGAGAUACUUGGGCUACAUUGUUCCAGCUAGAUUAAUUGUGGAUAUUCCAAUCAGUGAAGUAUCAUAUGGACAUGAACACCAACUGGCGAAUGAGGAUCUCUUCAUUGGGGCUGAGGCCAGAGCAUUCCUUGAAAAUGAAGAACUGUCCUCCAUGUUAAUGACCAAAAUAUAUCAUUAAGUUGUAACUUCAGUAAUAAUAAUGCCUGCAUGCUUCAUUUGUCUUUCUUCAUGAUUCCUUGUUAAUAUGUGAUUCUGUCAUAAUUGUGCUCUUAGAACAGUGAGGGCUUUCUAUGUGGAAGUCAUUGGGAAGAUGCUGAAGGUCUUUCCCUUAGACUCACAGCUGCUCUGUGACCUGAAGGUGUUAGACCCAGCCUCUCGCCUGGACAUCUCUCCUGACACAGGUUGACCUUGUUUGUGAUUUACCUACCCCCUCAAAUAAUCCUAUUAUUGUAAGAAUACCAGCUCUGUACAUUUAACUAUGAAGUAUUUAACCUAACUGAUAAUGUGUUGGAAAUCUGUCCAUACCACACAGUGACAAGGCUAGGUUGCGUGUUUCAACAACUGAGGCUUGAUCCAAAUAAACUGAGAGAGGAGUUCACAGACUACCAGGUCACAGACAGCAAGGAGUUAAUCCAGGAAGAGAGAGUGGACAGAUUCUGGGGCCUUGUAGGGAAAAGUGAGACUGAGACCAGGUUUAGUCAGCUGGCUAGUCUGAUGAAGGCACUACUUUGCAUUCCUCAUAGUAAUGCCUCCUCAGAGAGAACCUUUAGCAUGGUCAGAAAGAUCCAGAAAAUCGAAUGAGCAUGAAUAAUAGCACACUCUGUGCUCGCUUGUGCUGCAAAAUCAACUAUACAAAACCUGCAGAGUACACUCCCUCCAGAGGGGUACUUAUAGCAGCAAAGUGUGCUACUUACAAUUAUAAUUCUGGAUGUAAGAAACGCUAGGAAACACCUUCAUGUUAAAUACAUGAAGUACAUGAAAUUUUUUG